Molecule: transfer RNA, 80 nt
Filed under: Hypoxylon cercidicola
Lineage: Eukaryota; Fungi; Ascomycota; Sordariomycetes; Xylariales; Hypoxylaceae
Description: tRNA-Lys
Rfam family: tRNA
About the family: Transfer RNA (tRNA) molecules are approximately 80 nucleotides in length. Their secondary structure includes four short double-helical elements and three loops (D, anti-codon, and T loops).
Source: RNAcentral
GCCCGGUUAGCUCAAUCGGUAGAGCGUGAGACUCUUACUAUGUAAUCUCAAGGUUGCGGGUUCGACCCCCGCAUCGGGCU